AUUGAAUUUCAGCCCCUUGGCUAAGAUCAAAUGUAAUAUUUGUUUUAUUGAUCUAAGAUCAGGUACAUCCUCAGUUGAGUACAGUAUAUUACAUGGCUUUAGGAUGCAGAACGGUGAAAUUGCUCAAUUCAUUCUGCAUAUUCACCUGGUACUCUAGAGCCUCCAGGAGUGAUGCAGCAUCU
Cricetulus griseus (Chinese hamster) is the source of this 182-nucleotide small nuclear RNA. Its record names the gene U2. It matches the Rfam family "U2 spliceosomal RNA". From Rfam's summary of the family: U2 is a small nuclear RNA (snRNA) component of the spliceosome (involved in pre-mRNA splicing). Complementary binding between U2 snRNA (in an area lying towards the 5' end but 3' to hairpin I) and the branchpoint sequence (BPS) of the intron results the bulging out of an unpaired adenosine, on the BPS, which initiates a nucleophilic attack at the intronic 5' splice site, thus starting the first of two transesterification reactions that mediate splicing. Lineage: Eukaryota; Metazoa; Chordata; Mammalia; Rodentia; Cricetidae. The record is from Ensembl.